AGGAUCAUUAGUGAAUCUAGGACGUCCAACUUAACUUGGAGUCCGAACUCUCACUUUCUAACCCUGUGCAUCUGUUAAUUGGAAUAGUAGCUCUUCGGAGUGAACCACCAUUCACUUAUAAAACACAAAGUCUAUGAAUGUAUACAAAUUUAUAACAAAACAAAACUUUCAACAACGGAUCUCUUGGCUCUCGCAUCGAUGAAGAACGCAGCGAAAUGCGAUACGUAAUGUGAAUUGCAGAAUUCAGUGAAUCAUCGAAUCUUUGAACGCACCUUGCGCUCCUUGGUAUUCCGAGGAGCAUGCCUGUUUGAGUGUCAUGAAAUCUUCAACCCACCUCUUUCUUAGUGAAUCUGGUGGUGCUUGGUUUCUGAGCGCUGCUCUGCUUCGGCUUAGCUCGUUCGUAAUGCAUUAGCAUCCGCAACCGAACUUCGGAUUGACUUGGCGUAAUAGACUAUUCGCUGAGGAUUCUAGUUUACUAGAGCCGAGUUGGGUUAAAGGAAGCUCCUAAUCCUAAAGUCUAUUUUUUGAUUAGAUCUCAAAUCAGGUAGGACUACCCGCUGAACUUAAGCAUAUCAAUAAGCGGAGGAAAAGAAACUAACAAGGAUUCCCCUAGUAGCGGCGAGCGAAGCGGGAAGAGCUCAAAUUUAUAAUCUGGCACCUUCGGUGUCCGAGUUGUAAUCUCUAGAAGUG
RNAcentral lists this small RNA (690 nucleotides) under Rhodotorula glutinis. RNAcentral's name for it is "eukaryotic LSU rRNA". The stretch from base 164 to 317 matches the Rfam family "5.8S ribosomal RNA". The record is from RNAcentral. Lineage: Eukaryota; Fungi; Basidiomycota; Microbotryomycetes; Sporidiobolales; Sporidiobolaceae.